This 213-nucleotide long non-coding RNA is filed under the name Lathyrus oleraceus (garden pea). RNAcentral's name for it is "Pisum sativum (pea) long non-coding RNA (PSAT_LNC017888)". Lineage: Eukaryota; Viridiplantae; Streptophyta; Magnoliopsida; Fabales; Fabaceae. The record is from RNAcentral.
GAAAUUUGACGGAUGAAAAUGAAAAUGGAAAUCGGGAAAAUGAUUCGUAUGGUGUGAGGAUGAGAAAGGUGGGAGCUUUUGUGGUGUUCAAGGACGUUUUUGCAAGGUGAAAAAAUGGGUUUUGAAGGUUUGAAGGUGUAAAAAUGGUGAAGAAAAGGAGUCUGCCCCGAGCUUAUACAGACGCUGUGGCGGGCGCCACAGGGUCUAUGGCGG